AGAGUUUGAUCAUGGCUCAGAUUGAACGCUGGCGGCAGGCCUAACACAUGCAAGUCGAACGGUAACAGGAAGCAGCUUGCUGCUUCGCUGACGAGUGGCGGACGGGUGAGUAAUGUCUGGGAAACUGCCUGAUGGAGGGGGAUAACUACUGGAAACGGUAGCUAAUACCGCAUAACGUCGCAAGACCAAAGAGGGGGACCUUCGGGCCUCUUGCCAUCGGAUGUGCCCAGAUGGGAUUAGCUUGUUGGUGGGGUAACGGCUCACCAAGGCGACGAUCCCUAGCUGGUCUGAGAGGAUGACCAGCCACACUGGAACUGAGACACGGUCCAGACUCCUACGGGAGGCAGCAGUGGGGAAUAUUGCACAAUGGGCGCAAGCCUGAUGCAGCCAUGCCGCGUGUAUGAAGAAGGCCUUCGGGUUGUAAAGUACUUUCAGCGGGGAGGAAGGGAGUAAAGUUAAUACCUUUGCUCAUUGACGUUACCCGCAGAAGAAGCACCGGCUAACUCCGUGCCAGCAGCCGCGGUAAUACGGAGGGUACAAGCGUUAAUCGGAAUUACUGGGCGUAAAGCGCACGCAGGCGGUUUGUUAAGUCAGAUGUGAAAUCCCCGGGCUACAACCUGGGAACUGCAUCUGAUACUGGCAAGCUUGAGUCUCGUAGAGGGGGGUAGAAUUCCAGGUGUAGCGGUGAAAUGCGUAGAGAUCUGGAGGAAUACCGGUGGCGAAGGCGGCCCCCUGGACGAAGACUGACGCUCAGGUGCGAAAGCGUGGGGAGCAAACAGGAUUAGAUACCCUGGUAGUCCACGCCGUAAACGAUGUCGACUUGGAGGUUGUGCCCUUGAGGCGUGGCUUCCGGAGCUAACGCGUUAAGUCGACCGCCUGGGGAGUACGGCCGCAAGGUUAAAACUCAAAUGAAUUGACGGGGGCCCGCACAAGCGGUGGAGCAUGUGGUUUAAUUCGAUGCAACGCGAAGAACCUUACCUGGUCUUGACAUCCACGGAAGUUUUCAGAGAUGAGAAUGUGCCUUCGGGAACCGUGAGACAGGUGCUGCAUGGCUGUCGUCAGCUCGUGUUGUGAAAUGUUGGGUUAAGUCCCGCAACGAGCGCAACCCUUAUCCUUUGUUGCCAGCGGUCCGGCCGGGAACUCAAAGGAGACUGCCAGUGAUAAACUGGAGGAAGGUGGGGAUGACGUCAAGUCAUCAUGGCCCUUACGACCAGGGCUACACACGUGCUACAAUGGCGCAUACAAAGAGAAGCGACCUCGCGAGAGCAAGCGGACCUCAUAAAGUGCGUCGUAGUCCGGAUUGGAGUCUGCAACUCGACUCCAUGAAGUCGGAAUCGCUAGUAAUCGUGGAUCAGAAUGCCACGGUGAAUACGUUCCCGGGCCUUGUACACACCGCCCGUCACACCAUGGGAGUGGGUUGCAAAAGAAGUAGGUAGCUUAACCUUCGGGAGGGCGCUUACCACUUUGUGAUUCAUGACUGGGGUGAAGUCGUAACAAGGUAACCGUAGGGGAACCUGCGGUUGGAUCACCU
This 1531-nucleotide ribosomal RNA is filed under the name Escherichia coli DEC8E. RNAcentral's name for it is "bacterial SSU rRNA". It matches the Rfam family "Bacterial small subunit ribosomal RNA". Lineage: Bacteria; Pseudomonadati; Pseudomonadota; Gammaproteobacteria; Enterobacterales; Enterobacteriaceae. The record is from RNAcentral.